Molecule: ribosomal RNA, 352 nt
Filed under: uncultured Fusibacter sp.
Lineage: Bacteria; Bacillati; Bacillota; Clostridia; Eubacteriales; Fusibacteraceae
Description: bacterial SSU rRNA
Rfam family: Bacterial small subunit ribosomal RNA
Source: RNAcentral
AGACAGGUGGUGCAUGGUUGUCGUCAGCUCGUGUCGUGAGAUGUUGGGUUAAGUCCCGCAACGAGCGCAACCCUUGUGUUUAGUUUGCAAACAGGUCAAGCUGUGCACUCUAGACAGACUGCCGUGGACAACACGGAGGAAGGUGGGGAUGACGUCAAAUCAUCAUGCCCCUUAUGAUCUGGGCUACACACGUGCUACAAUGGCCGGUACAACGGGCAGCGAAGGAGCGAUCCGGAGCGAAUCCUAAAAAGCCGGUCCCAGUUCGGAUUGCAGGCUGAAACUCGCCUACAUGAAGUUGGAGUUGCUAGUAAUCGCGAAUCAGAAUGUCGCGGUGAAUGCGUUCCCGGGUCUU